This 12607-nucleotide long non-coding RNA is filed under the name Gallus gallus (chicken). RNAcentral's name for it is "lncRNA (ENSGALG00010022785.1)". The stretch from base 5623 to 5708 matches the Rfam family "mir-365 microRNA precursor family". Lineage: Eukaryota; Metazoa; Chordata; Aves; Galliformes; Phasianidae. The record is from RNAcentral.
CGUAGGGCGGUGCGGGUGAGCUGCUGUCUGCGGCGGCCCUCAGAAAAGCCCGGUAUCUUAAGGAGAAACGAAUCCGUCCGUUGCUGUUGCUGCAGGCCCGCGUUUAUCCGUACCGCUUAGUCGGAAUGUCUGCAAUCUACUUCGCGUUUUUCUCUCGAGAUGUGUUUGCUGAGCAUGCAGUCCGGCUAGCACAGCAUUCCUUGGCUCCAGAUUUGGAUUUCCAAAAGUAGCAUAAACGUAGUAGUGGCUUUUCAAGCACAGUAAUUCGUUUCUUUAACGUAACUGACAGCAUUUACCUACUUCGGCCGCCAAGUGUAAACUAUAAUGCUUUUAAACUCGGUAUUUAUUUAGAAAACCUGUAGGAAUUAUAAACGGAGGAUUCAGAAAAUACGUUCCCUUUGUAUGCAGAGCUCUCCUCAUCCCUUAAAGAAGUUGUGGAGGAACGCAGUGCUGAGGGCUGUGCGAUGCAGAUACCCAGCGGAGCGCUCGACCUGCCGCUGUCAGCAGGGAACGGCCGCGCUCGGGUCGCGUGAAGCCCCUUGUGGAGGGCCGCAGCUGUAACCCAGCAGGAGUCAGGGCAGACACCUCCUGCAACGGUUCUGCUUUAGUCUGCGAUACAGAAGAACAGACACACAAGCUGAUCCUUUGGAAAGAUAAGAAUAGAUACUUUGGAUGCUGGGUCUGGUAAAUCUGCUGCUCUGGGUGGGUUCAAUGUGACUUUAUGGGCGCUUACAGAAGGUGCUGCUUAACUAAACAAACCAAUCCUGACGUGUGAGUAAGACCGCAAGGUAUCUGUUAGCAAUUAAUUCCUGCCGUCCAGAAAAGGCAGUGUGUGUUGUGACUUGGAUACAAGUCUCAUUUAUCAGUUCCCAGGUUAGCUACUUAUAAGUAGUGAUUCUCUCAAUUAAUUGGGUGUAUCUUACAAAGAUACUUGACUUACAAAUUGAAUCUCAGAAGGCUGUGGUUCCAGAGUCGGGGUUUUGGGGGCGAGAUGAGCUUAUGUUUUAUCCAACUGGCCCACAAAGUCCCGCUUUUGGUGGUCACUUUGUUCUGCAAAGGAAACCAAUGCGUUCUGGUCUUACAAUGGACACUAAACUUAGCACUAAGCUACUGCUGCACUCAGUAACGGGCUACUGCACACUUAAAUAUGCAACAAUAUUUCAACUUUAACGUCACCUUCAGCAGUAAAAUGUGGACAGGUAACACUAGCAUCCCCCAAAUUAAACAUGAAAUGGCUUUCUAAGCACUGUUGUAGCUUAUAAAAGGUCUCUGUUUUUUUCUCCAUAAAAACCUAGCAGAAGACAAAGUGAUGUUUCAAAGAGUAGUUGUUUGGCAUAAGUGAACUGGGAGAAAAGAAAAGAUAUUUCUAGCAAAGAGAGACAGCUUAAACCCGCAGAAAAUGGUCCAACCUGAAGGAACAUUUCUGUUGUCCCCUCCACAGUUCCUUUGCUGACAAACUAUGUCAGUUGCACGUCUCUCCCUCUCCAGACAGCCUGUUUCUUCAGUGCGUGCCCAGUGUGUGUGCGUGUGCAUGUGCGUGUGCAUGGUCUGUAUCUUUAAAUCAAUGUGAAGAUGACUAAUUUGUGUACUGAUAAAAGAUGUUAUAGCAUGCUGUGACGAGUAAGUCUGAGCUUGGUAAGGCUAUUCAAGUCUACGCUACUGCUUACAUUUUGAUACCAGCAGCCUAAAGGAUCUAAGCAUAAUUUGUACUUGUAGGUGACUUUUAAAUGAAAUUCUAGUAGGUGUUUAAAGGUUGUUAGUGGAUAAGUUGAGCUUUAUUGUGGCUCCAACUGUAGCACACGUAUAUUGAUGACAGAAUGAAGGACACUAUAAAUUGUACAGUGUGAGAGGCACUUCCAGCACUGACCUACUCAAACUGCGUCCAUGUGAGCACUUCAGACAAGCGUGGCAAUUCAGCUGAAGUUACGCAGCAGUGCAGGGUUAAAAAAAUAAGGUGUUGGUUUGGGACAUAUCAGGUGAUGAUAUGCAGGAUCUGUAUGUUGAAGCAAAUUGAUACUGUGCUGAAUUACUGAUAUUUUUCCAUGGAAUUCUGCUCUUUCACAUUGUAUAGCUAUAUAAUGGCUACACAUAGGAAAUAGGACAUAGCAAAACCUCCGUGCAACACAUUACUCGCUUGUUCAAGACUGAAAUCUGACUUGGGAGAGCUAAGGUCACCAUUGUGCUACUUGUAUGCUUUUUAGCUCCUGUCCUGCGUGGAGUAAUACUGUUCCAGAGCAGCGUUUUUCAGAAGGUUAAGUUUUCAGGAACUGAUUAAGCUGUUGGUUUAUUUUUAUUUUGGAUUUAUAGUGCUUAGUUUGUGAGUACACUGCAGACGUGUCCAGUGUCACAAGUUGUGAGACUCAGGUUUGUUUGGCUCCUGUGGACUCACUGCCAGUAGUCCAAGAACAGAAGAGCAGAGAAUCAGGUACUGGAAAGCAGGCUGAUUGGAAGGUCUGGCUCUCAAGGAAACCUCUCAAGGAAACAAGAGAUCAGCUCUGCUCUGCUGCUCAUGGACUUUUUCCUCAAGGCUCUUCAAUUGAAGCAUGUCUUUUUGUACUGUUUCAGUGAGGCGUGCUUCACAUUUUGUUAAACAGCUAGAUUUGAUUUUUUUUUCCAGAUAGAUUCUAUCUCGUUCUCUACUGAUGAUAAAGAAAAUGCACAUGUACUCAUUCAAGUGCAAUUAACACAGUUAUAAAGUGUGUAUGACCAUAAGUGGCUACUGAGCACUCUUAAAGAUCAUAGCGAUAGUUCUGUAGGCUUUUCUCACCCAAAAUUGUUCAUCACCUUCUUUCCCAUCACUAAGCCUACAUAAUGAGCCCCUGUUUCUCUCGUGUGCAGUAAAAUGGACAGUUUCUACUGUGAUGGAUAUCACAUGUAGCUGUUAAGCUUUAAAUGUAUAUUUACCUUAUACGUGUUAACCAAAUUAAUCACAAUUAGAAAAAGCCUUGAUUGAUACCCUAAACAUUUAUCCUGCAAAAAUGUGAUCUUUGCUGUGGUGAUCUCCUCAGGGCUUCUGUGCAUGGUGGGGGUGGCCCCAGCACCACUGCUCCUGGAGCGUCCCGCAGUGCCCAGCAUCAGCAAUGGGACAGCCAGGAUCCAUUUGUUUGAAAAGCAAGAAGGAAUUUAGGGAAGAUGAAAAGAAGGCAGUAUAUUCGGAAUCAAAAUUCAUUUUUCUCGAGAUAAAAAGUGUCACAAAGUAUCGAAAAGAUAGUAUUUAGAAAGAUCAACUCCAAUUAUUUAUCACAUUCAUCAUUUAUAAAAUUGAAAGCCCUACUAGUUGUUUUCUAUGUAAAAUAAAUUAAAACUUCAUUUUUAGAAUGACUUUUCAGCAUUUUGAAGCAAAGCUUUAAAAAACAGCUUAUGCACAGUGAAGCAGGAGAGGGUUAUCCGGUGUCUGUCUGCUCACUUUAGAAAUAUGUGGACACAUUACUGGAAGCAGCGAGAUCAGAACCGGGUGGUAUGGCUUGAGGAUUGCUCUGUGGCCUGAGUUCUGAAGCAGGGCCUCAGCAUCUGACAUGCCCUGACCACAAGUUACCACAAGAGUUUUGUGACUGCCCUCCAAUACGGCCAUUGGGAAGGAGAGGGUGGCAGUGACCAGAGUUUGGGAACUCGGGACCUGGCUCCAAGCUGUACCGUAGUACAGGUUGUGAGGUCAGUCAUCCCCCUCUGUGAGGCUGUCUGGAGUUCUUCCAGGGCAGGAAUGCGGGCAGCCGUGGUGUGUUGUGCUGGCUUGCUCUUCCCUCGCAAUUCUAACUGUACGCAUCAGCACUGCUCGCCUGCACAAGGCCUGCUCCACACACCGAAAGAAAAUCUGUUCACAUGCAUCUCACAGAGGUAUCAUCACCUUUUUUUGUCUUGAAAAUUGUAUUUGCUGGUUAUGAAAGAAAAAAAACAGUCACAUUUAAAACAUUUUUUAAAAUAUUAGAGGAAAAACUGCUCUGAUGUGGAAGCUGCACCUGUGGUGGAAGAAGUGGAAUAAAAGCGGUUCUAUUCGACGUAUAAAGCUGCUUCAGAACGUGCAGCUUAAGAGUACAGCAUUCUGGUGAAAUGGAGGACUUUAAGUGAGUUUAAGUCACCGCUUGCCCUGUUCUCAGUGCAAAUAACUAAAUAACUCUUUGCAAGGUAAUAUGCUUUUUUCCUCAAGUGAUGCAAACAUUUGGGGAAUUUGGUAAAUGCACAGGCAUUGAAAAAAGAACAGAGAAUUGACUUUUCUGCCUUUGUCAGAGUGUGCCAGCAGUUCUGCCGUGGGGCCGGGCCGGUCCUGUCGGUGGCUGCUGGGUGCACAUCUUUACUGGUAAUCGUUUUAAUAGAUUCGUGGCCUUUCCUUACAAGCUGACAUAAUGCAGGAGCAAGAGAUCCGUGUCUGAAAGUGACAGUUUUGUAGGCCGGGAGAAAUAAAGAAAGACAAAAUGUGUUCUGUCAUCUACGACAGGACACGUGUACACGCUUUUUGGAAAGGCUGAGAAAAGGCACUGCAGGAUGUUCCGGGAUCGGUAAUAGAAUGCAGUGAUUUUACUGCUGGGAUAUUUCUAUUUGUUAUCUAUAAAUUCUGUUGGAAACAUCAGUCUGUAGAGUCAUCAGAACCUAAGUUUUUACUUUGUUGUUGCUGCUGUCCAUAUAAAAGUUUUCUUUUGCAACAAAAGGCCUCCUUGAAAGCAGGCAAGGCCUGGCAGCUGGCACAUGGGUGCUGCUGGAAGCCACCGGAGCUGCAUCAACACCAAAUUCAGGCAAGAUCACAGUAAUGUUUCUGGAACAUGGGUACAGGAACAAAGACCGAAUGGAUUACAUAGCAUGGCAUAUUAAAUAACAUAUAAGCAAUUGGUUACUGUUUUUUUUUUGUUUGUUUGUUUGUUUGUUUUCCCCAACAAUAUUGUAUUCUAUAUAUUAUGCUCCACAGAUCCAUUGAAGAAUAUGCCCACUAAGUGGUAGUUAGUGUGUAGUAGUGGUAGUAGUUAAUUACUUUAAAAGAGACUUUUCAUUAGGCUUGUUGAUUUGAAUAGGCAUAACAGUUCCAGUGUGCUGCUUUGCUAUGGAGAUUUGUAAAUAUGCAAUAUGCAGUCUUAACCAAAGGGGGAUUCCUCUAUUUGUUUGUACUCUGAGCAGACUUUCUCUAUGUAUGGGAAAUUGCUCACAUGACUACACAUAAAAUAUAUUGAAAUGCUGUAAAACAAAACGUAACAGUUGUAUGACUUUAUUAUGUACUCCCUUUUCCUACAAACCUAACUUUGCACCGUCACUUGAAGCAAAUCCUUAGAAAACAGAGAUGCAGGUCAACUAUUCCUGUUGAUCAUUCUGCUUUGUUUUGAAAUCCUGGAUAGGUGAAAGAACAAAAAUUGCCCUACAAUUCUGUGUAGUUCCUCCUCCUAGCUUUCCAGUACUAACAGUGUUUUCAAGGGAACUUUGUCAGAAUUCACUUUGGUGGAUGGACAGAACCGAUUAAUGCAGCCCAGGUGUGUGAGCUAGCGAUUGUUUGGAAAACUACUGUUUUCCUAUGGACUGGGCUCAGGAAAUGCUGAAAUCCUGAAGUAUUGUUGGAAAAGUGUUUUAACAAAAAAAAAAAAUUGCUUUAUAGUUUCAUUCUCAAUGUUCCACAGAAUUCACCACUUCCUGCAUGGCUCUUUACCGCAGGGAAAAUGAGGGACUUUUGGGGGCAGAUGUGUUUCCAUUACACUAUCAUAAUGCCCCUAAAAAUCCUUAUUGCUCUUGCAGUAUUCUUCUGUGUUGCUGGGCCUGGUGUGAGCUACUUGAAGACCUAGCUUCUAAGUACAGCUUCUCUCUAAAAACACUUUCAAAGAGCAACUGAUUUUCUUUUAUUUACCUUAUUUUUGGUUGCGUUUAAUGUUGCUUAAAAUGUAAUUGCAAGAUAUGCCACCACCUGUUGAUAAACGAAUGUCAUUAAGUCAUAAAUGGGAGGGACAUGCUGAUAACUGCACGGUACCUAGCAAAAGGAACAUAUUUUGGCAUAAGGGUGAGUUGCACUCUGCUGGUGCAAUGAGCGUGUUUUUAACUUAAGAAUUCAGUAUGUGUGUCUAAAAAUGUGACACAGAUUUUUCACAGAUUUGAAUGACUUUGUUAUAGUGGACCUCACUCAGAAUGUUAACUGCUUUUAGGACCAUACUUCAGGCUUUUAAUCAAAUUAAAAGAUCUGCCCAGUAUUUUUAGUUAGAUUAAAGGCAUGCACACUCCAAUAUUCAAAUCACAUCCCCACACAGUCCCCAAAUAAAGAAAUUGAAGAUGAAACCUAGAAGAGACACUGUGAGUGCUCAGCGACAGUGUACUUUUUGCUCAGGAGGUGUUUGUGUGGGCAGGAGGAAGGGAUGCUGCUGGCCCUGCUGGGCGAUGCUGAGUCCACACUCCUCCUCAGGCACAGUUUAUUCCUGGUAGGCAGCAGAGUACUCAAAUUCUGCAAUUUUCCACAGUUUUCUUGAUGGAAAGGCAGAACACAUAAAUGUAAAUACCGUGUUUUUGUCUGGGCAUUGCAGCACAGUAUAUCAUCACUUCACAUGUGCAGUGCUAGUAGCAUUUAUUUCAGUAGCCACAUGUAGGGCUGGGUUGUGUAAAACGUAUUCUUGACUUCACUAACUAGCUUAGAAGAAAUAAUGAAUAUACUGCAUCACUUUGUCCCUUUGUCAGUGCCAAAUAUCUUCAAAGAGCCUUUAGAAUACUUGGUAACGUAGGAAAGAAACUAGAUUCACACACCUCUCCCCCAUUUUAUACUGUUCUAACCCCAAGGAAUUUUUCUUCUUCGUUUUCCUGAAGAAGUGUUUCUCAUUUUUUCAGCGGGAAAAUCUUACAGGUUAAGUCAUAUCCUGUAGGUCACAAGGGGAGCUAGCUGUUAUGACCAGAACCCCAAACCCUUGAUGCCCAGGUAGAUGCUGCAAUAAGAAAACCACUGUCUUGAAGGACUGAAUGAGCUGUGUUGCACAGUAUUGUGCUCACAGGUCAAAACAUGCUUACAUAUCCAUUCCAACGUGGAAAAGCAUUUCAGUAGCGUGUCCAGGCAGAAAGCAGUAGAAAAGCUAGACAUUGCAUUAAUUCUAAAUGUUCCUAUCACUACCUCUGUGUUUCUAUUUGGCUUGUUGAUUACAAAGUGAUUCCUGGCACCUUCUAACGUGAGUGAAAGGUGCUGGCUUGAGGCUUAUGCAGCUCUGAAAAUGACCAAAAGCACUUACAAAGUAUUAGAUAACUAAAUUAUUAAUAUUAUGAAUAAAGGUGUUUGUUCAGUAAACUUUUAAUUUCCAAGUAAUGCUCCAAAAGACUCUGUGGCUGAUGUGUUAAAAACGUGUGAGACUGCACAGAUUCUGUCAUGUUCUGCAGUAUUAAAGAUCUGCAGAGGGAUUACUCCCAGAGCUACAAUUUUUAUCACCUUUAUAUAAAACAGACUUAAUGGGAAAAGACUGGGAUUCUAAUUAUUUUUUAAGAGUCUUCUGGGGAACUGUGCUUGUGACAAUACUAUAUAAAGAGCAGUGCAAUAGUUUUGAGCAUUAAAGCUGAUCUGAUUUUACAUUUGUUCUAUGUUAUUUUCUCAUGUGACACAUAAACUUUUAAGAAUAUCAGAAAAAAUGUGUUUUUUAACAGAAGCCAUUUUUCAUACAACUGUCUGGAGAUGCAGCCUGUAGAUUUCAACAGCUGAUUCUUACAUACACACAUACUUAGAGUCAGAGUCUUUAGACUGUAGCAAAAUUAGGAUUUUCCCUGAAAUGUGCAUAUGUAAAAUGUGUUUAUCACAUUACAUCACUGUCAAGAAAAAUAUUUCUUCAGAGCUAGCAGUCCUGAGAAUAAAUUUAAGGAGGGGAAUCAAGAUACAGUGCAGUGCACUGCUGCACCUGCAUCGCAGAAGAGCUGCUCAGGAGAGCUAAGGUAUGUCAUGUAGGCACUUCCACAUCCCAGGGAGGUGCCAAGGGCCUUCGGUGGGAUGAGGCAAGGUGAGCUACUGCAUGCACUUUGCUAGGCACAGUGAGGAGUUGCAGCCAGCAGCUCCCUGCAGAACACUGAUUCCUGUCAUUUGGGGCAGCGGCUCAGGGCAAGUCCGCUCUGGCUUUAACCACAAUAUCUUCCCAUACCAGCUUUAUCCCUAUCUCCUCCUUUGCUGAUUAUCCUGUUAAUAAACAGAAACUUCCAAGAAUUAAAAAAAAAAAAAAAAAAAAAACCAUAAGGUUGCUGUUUCAAGGCACUCCUGCCAGAAAGAAGACAGCCACAGCUGCAAUUUACUGAUAACGUACCUUGUGCUAACAUCCCACUAUGGCAUGCAUGCGUGAAAAAGCUACACCAAUUAGUGAAUUCAAGUCUCUUGAUUUUCUCCAAAAGCAGGACACUCAGUACAGUGUCCUGAAACACAGAUGCUCAUACAGUGCAGGGGGGAAUGAAUGCCUGCCCUUGCUGGGGCUGUGCAAUGCUUUGGCACUGCAGCAAGUGCUCUGUGAACGUGGUGGGGGCUGGAGGGCACCAGUCCAGUGUUACCGUUGUUUGGUGGGUCUGGUUAUGUUGAUUUUUUAUCAGAAGUGACCUGCAAGCAGGCAAGAAAUGGAGAGCUGCUGCACUGUGUUUCUGCUUGCCUAUAUCCCUAAGAAAACGUCCCUGGUCAGUGUUAAUUCUGCACCAUAUGUAACAAUACCUGUAACAGCAAGUUUAUCUUAUCUUAAAAGUUAACUUUUCAAGUGCAGCGUAAUAGUGGAUAGCAUUAUCAUUUAUAUGUAUCCCAAGGACAUAUUCUCACUUCUUUUUAUCAAUAUCACAGCAAAGAGGAAAGAGUACUUUCCUGUUUCACCUAUGAAACACUGAACAACACUUCUGUUUUUCACACCAGCACAUCUAAAUGCAAUAGGGGAUUGGGACUUUGUUUUGUCAUUCUGCAGAAUGCUGACGUAUGUGUUUGGCAUUCAGGUGUUAGAAAAACUGGAAAGAACAAAGGAUAAUUUGCAUGUCUUUUGGAUUUUUUUUUUCUUCAAGCUGUAGCUAUUCAUUAGCAAUCUUUAGCAUUGGAGUUUAGAAAAUGUUGUGCUUACUCAUAUAAAAAAAGACAUAGGAAUGAAAAACAGAACAGCACAAACUGGAGUCCUGUUAGGCUGCAGGCCACUGCCAGGGUCUUUCUGCAGGAGCUUUCUGUUCUGCUGAUUGCUUUGAGUGGGGCAAAAAGAUAAACAUUUUCUUGUGGCAAAUGCUGCCACACGUGACAAGUUGAUAUGCAGUAUCAAAAGUUGUACCAGGGGCUUAUUAGUUCACUCGAAUAAGACGGAAAUGCGAGGAAAAGUUUUGUGCAGCUGAAAAAUGAAAAAUAAUUCGUCAGUGCCCAAAUUGAUCUGCUGAAAAAAGACAUUUUUUGGCCUCAGUAACCAGAGCUUUCACUGCUAUGGACACUUUAUCUGUUGUCCUCAAUGAAUCAGCCUCCUUUGUACACACUACACCACUAUGGCUGUGGUAUGUGUUUUCGGCUGGUGCAGAUAGAGGAAUAUAAAUUCUAUACUGAUACGCAUAAGCAACUAUGCUACGCACAGGAUACAGUAAGCAGAAUUUGACUAGUCACUUCAUUAGAUGAAAAAUAAGCAUUUUCUGCUGUUUGUGCAGUGUCCACUUUGCGGACACUGGGGCCAUGUUUCCAUGUUUUUGCCUUUUCUAUUGAAAAUUAGGUACCGUAUUUGGAUAUGGCACAGAAGAGGUGCGUUCUGCUGCACACCUCUGUCCCGUGCUCCCUAAGUCCUUUCCUGACUGUUUUUGUUACACGGGUAUACACACCUUGAAACAGACUGUGUUUGUAUUGACAUUGUCACUAACUCUGUAUUUGAACUAAAAUUAGCAAAAAAUAUGUGAUUAGAGAUCCUGCCAUAUAUAUAUAUACAUAUAUUCCCUUACAUUCUCAUAAUGGUACACAGCAUGAUAGAACAAGGAGAAACAAAGAGAGAAUGCACAGAGAUUCAUUUUGCGCUGGGCUGUUGGCAGAAAUCUGAGAAACUGUGGCUGUCCUGGCAGCAUCCCAUCCUUCUUUCACCAAGGGGGGCAAAAGGAGUGUCCAGGAUGCAUCUCUAAAGGUCUGCUUCCACUUCUCACCAAGGCAUGGUGCACUGCUGAAACUGAAGGAAAAUUUUUAAAGAUUUAGCCUGUAAUUUCUGAAACUGUUUAAAGUAACGUUGUAUGGAAACUGACUUUCUUAAUGCAAUUUGUCUACUUUUUCUCCAAACAUCACAGAAGAGAAUUAAAAUUUAAAUGCACUGAUAUGUUUUACAGAAGAUCAAACAUUACUGUUAUUUGAGUAGUUUCUAGGAGCAGUGAUGGAAACUGCUUUAUGUACUGCAAUGAUUUAUACUUUUUUGUUGUACAAUUUGUUUAAUUCCCACUGCAACUCAACAGGAUUACAAAGGCAUGUAUGAAUAAACAUGAAUUUGAGAUGUUGCAACUGAGUCCAGGAACAUAACGAUGGUAAUUUUUCCCUGAAGAAAUCAGAUCAGAAGCUUUAAAUGUACAUUUUCCUCAACAGAACAGUUGGAUGUUAUCAAAAUUACUACUGUGCCUACAUGUGUCCCUUGCAGCAUCAUUCCCUCAUCACUGAUUUGCCAGCACAGCACUACCCAGAAAGGAGUUUGCUGUUACCUGCCUAUGCAGUCCCCACAAAAGCUGCUGCUGAAAAUUCUCUCCGUACCUAUCAGAUGUUUCUGCACUGUGAAUGCUAAGGAAAUGCUAAGUAAUUUGACUGCACGAUUUUUAAAGAAACCAACAGAAAAAUCAGAUUUACACAAUGAUUACAGUUCUGCUUGCUAAUAUUGAUCCUCCCUUUAAGGGAAAUUAAUGCAAAACAAGACUGGAGUUAUAAUGCACCAAUAAUGUUUUGCUUGUCUCAAAAAGUAAUGAUAGCUAGUGCUUUUGUAUCUUCUAUUUCCUUAUGAUCUAUUAAAUAUAAGUAGUUAAAACCCUAAAAUAAGAAUAAAGAGAGAUGACAGAGGUGGCAAGGCACCUAGAUGUGGAUCUAAAUAUAACCAAGGUUGUUUAUAUCAGUGAGCUCUGCCAAAGGAUAUGCGUUUAUGCAACUUUCUUGGUCGGGGAGUCAGUUUGCAAUGCUCCCAUGUGUUGUAUCCUUUAUUGCUCAUAUUUCAAAGGUAAUUUUUGCAAGAUUCUAAACAAAUAAAUAAAAAGCUAAAUUAUUAUCUCAGUUGUAGAAAUGGAGAAACUAUAAUAUUGAAGUUGACUGACUCUGUCAAGUAAAUGUUUAUUAUUAGAAAUAGGAUUCGAUUUCAUGUCAUCACUCCAAAUCUCACACUUCUUGCACUGGUGACCUACCAUAAAGAAAUACACGUUAAUGCAAUCAUUUUGAAGAGAUCGAUACCCAGGGAGGAGCUGUUUCCUGAAUUACCAGGUGAACGACUAAACAUUUCCUAAGGAUCACCCAAGACACUGAAGACAAAAUAUCUAUCGUUUUUUGUUACAGUUCAUAUUUCUGCUGCUUCUCAGACACGCUGUGAUUCAUCUCUGAGGAACACUUCACAUACUGUAGUUUAUUUUUCUAUCACGACACUCACAAUUUGCCAAAACUGCCAUUUCCCUUAUGCUGUUUGAGCAUUGCUAGCUCUGCAAUCAAAUGUAUACUGUCUGUUUCCAUCCCUGCUCUCUGUCUCAAUUAUUAUUUUUGUGAAGAUAAGAAAAUCCCAUUUUUACCAGUGGAGAGCCAGGCUGCUUAGGUCACAAGAUUCUCUUGGCUUAAUCCUUGAGUAUGAAUCACGAACUUUCCCUAAGAAGUACUGGCAUUCUUCAGAUGAUCAAGCCAGCUUACUAAGGCUUCCAGAGCUUUCCGCAUUAGCGAUCACCAUGUUUAAAGUAUCAAAAGCAGUAGCUGAUUAAGAAUUAAACUGUUUAUUCUUACUUUUCCCAUUUCCUCUGUUUCUAACUCUUAUGUGGCUUGGUACUGUAAACAGCUGUAAUGCAACUCAGUUAAAAGAAGUAAUAUGAAAAUAUGAAAGCUAUGAUGAAAGAGAUAUAUCAGACAAAAAUAUUUGUGUGAAAUACAAGAAACAGAGUUACAUUUUCUGCAGUACAUGGCUCAAAAAUAAUCUGCAUAUGUACACAUGGCUCCAGUUAACAAAAAGCAUUUUUCUCACAUUUAAUAUCAGAAAUGUUGGAGGUAGCCAAACAUCUAUUCUGCAGAUGAUUUACAACCCUUGCAGAAAAAAAAAAAACUGCACUAUUGAGACAUCAUAGUAAAUGUCAUAUAAUUCAAUAAGCGUUAUGUGAAGAAAUAGAUAAAAUGAAGAUACACCCAAAAAAUAUUUCUUGAGAUAUGAAGGUGGAAACAGAAUAUUCAUUCCAGAUGCAGAACACAGAAAAUUGCUGAGAUAGGACUGGACUCUAGUAAGCAUGUAGCCCUGGAAACAUGAGGGUCCUGGGCAAUUCAGGACAGGUGUUACAUUCCUGCACCACAUUCAAGUAUGAGAUCUGACAAAAGUAGACUGUUCACUUUGGCUACCAAUGAGAUUUUUCUAACUUUUACCAGGAAUAGUACUUCUUCAUAAAUGUGGAGUAAACUAUUUGAACAACAAUUCUUUCUUGUAUUAUUUCCAGAUUUGGUGAAAAACAUUAUAACAACUAAUGAAUACAUUAUACAGUCAUGCAAACUUCAAACUGA